CCACGGCGGCUCCACCCCGACGCGGCGUCCCCGCCCCCACGCCGCCGGCCACCCCGACGCGCCGGCCCCGGCGCAUCAGCCGCCCCUCCGCCAUGGCACCCCCACCCCGACGCGCAGCAGUGGCCACUCCACCUAGGACCACUGCUUUUUUGCCCUAUCUUCUAAUUUGGCGGAUAAUCACUACGGAGGUCCAAGCAUGCCGGCGCCGCUGCUGCGAGGGACGCUCCUGCGCUCCAUCGGCAACGGCGGCGAGGUGGCCCCUACCGUCCUCCUGCACGGCGUCUGCGCCGUCGCGGGAGCAAGGGCGGCGGCAGGCGGCCGGGAACCGGGAUCUAUGCUCCUGCACUCCGUCGGCGACGGCGGCGAGGUGGCCCCUGCCGUCCUUUGCACUGCGGACGCACUGUCGCGGGAGCAGGGCUGGUGCGGGCAGCGGUGGGGAGCUCCGGCGGCGGGCUGGUGGCGGCAGUGGUGGCCGGCCAGUGGGGACGAUGGAUUAUUUAUUUUUUUAUGAUUUCUAAAAGUAUUUGCCGAGUGUCGGUUCAACACACAGCAAACUCUUUGUCGAGUGCAUGAAAAAAAGCCCACGGCAAAGCUAGCUUUGCCGGCCGGCGUUUGCCGUGAGCGGUUUGCCGUGUGUGGCACACGGCAAAGCUUUUGCCGUGUGCAUUAUGGGCUUUGCCAUGUGCAUCCGGCACAUGGCAAAUACGCUGAGUCCGGUAGUGAGCGUAGCUCAGCUUAUAAGAUUCCUUGUGGUGGAACCUGCUCUAUUUUAGGAUUUAACCGGUGAUAUUCUUUUAGUGGUAGGCGACAUGCCCGUCGAUAGCGUGGCACCAGUGGUAACUUCGUAAAUCUCAAGGAUCUGCAGGCUCAUUCUAUCGAAGGUGCUCAUAGUGGUUGAAUUGUGUGCAUGUAUUUAUAGAAGUGAGUGUGCGUGCAUUUAUGAGUGUCUUCUUAUGUAUUGUGUUUCGCAAAAAAAAAUAGUUCAUGGUGGAUU
Molecule: long non-coding RNA, 994 nt
Organism: Panicum virgatum (switchgrass)
Lineage: Eukaryota; Viridiplantae; Streptophyta; Magnoliopsida; Poales; Poaceae
Exons: 2
Source: RefSeq, a predicted model, not a curated record